GCAGCUCAGUCAGUAGAGCAUGAGAUUCUUAAUCUCGGUAGUGGGUUCAAACCCAACGUUGGACA
Podarcis lilfordi (Lilford's wall lizard) is the source of this 65-nucleotide non-coding RNA. NCBI's taxonomy places the organism in Eukaryota, Metazoa, Chordata, Lepidosauria, Squamata, Lacertidae. The record is from the annotation of a GenBank genome assembly.